AUUGGACGCUGGCGGCAUGCCUUACACAUGCAAGUCGAACGGCAGCACGGGUGCUUGCACCUGGUGGCGAGUGGCGAACGGGUGAGUAAUACAUCGGAACAUGUCCUGUAGUGGGGGAUAGCCCGGCGAAAGCCGGAUUAAUACCGCAUACGAUCUACGGAUGAAAGCGGGGGACCUUCGGGCCUCGCGCUAUAGGGUUGGCCGAUAGCUGAUUAGCUAGUUGGUGGGGUAAAGGCCUACCAAGGCGACGAUCAGUAGCUGGUCUGAGAGGACGACCAGCCACACUGGGACUGAGACACGGCCCAGACUCCUACGGGAGGCAGCAGUGGGGAAUUUUGGACAAUGGGCGAAAGCCUGAUCCAGCAAUGCCGCGUGUGUGAAGAAGGCCUUCGGGUUGUAAAGCACUUUUGUCCGGAAAGAAAUCCUUGGCUCUAAUACAGUCGGGGGAUGACGGUACCGGAAGAAUAAGCACCGGCUAACUACGUG
Molecule: ribosomal RNA, 486 nt
Filed under: uncultured bacterium
Lineage: Bacteria
Description: partial 16S ribosomal RNA
Rfam family: Bacterial small subunit ribosomal RNA
Source: RNAcentral